CGAAAGCGAGUUUUAACUGAGCGUUCAGUUACUUGACGUAGACCCGAAACCGGGCGACCUACCCAUGAGCAGGAUGAAGCGAAAGUAAAAUUUCGUGGAGGUCCGAACCCACGAGCGUUGAAAAGCUCGGGGAUGACUUGUGGGUAGCGGUGAAAUUCCAAUCGAGCCCGGAGAUAGCUGGUUCUCCCCGAAAUAGCUUUAGGGCUAGCCUCAAGGUGAGAGAUACGGAGGUAGAGCACUGAAUGUCCUAGGGGGUAUUGCACCUACCGAAGACUAUCAAACUCCGAAUGCCGUCAUCUUAUACUUGGGAGUCAGACUGUGGGUGAUAAGAUUCAUAGUCGAAAGGGCAACAGCCCAGAUCGUCAGCUAAGGUCCCUAAAUGUAAGUUAAGUGGUAAAGGAUGUGGGAUUGCACAGACAACCAGGAUGUUGGCUUAGAAGCAGCCACUCAUUCAAAGAGUGCGUAAUAGCUCACUGGUCGAGUGAUCCUGCGCCGAAGAUUUCCGGGGCUAAAACUUACUACCGAAGCUACGGCAUCAGUAAUGAUGGGUAGGGGAGCUUCCCAUACGGGUUGAAGCAUGACCGUAAGGACAUGUGGACAGUAUGGGAGUGAGAAUGUUGGCAUGAGUAGCGAGAUGUGGGUGAGAAUCCCACAGGCCGUAAACCCAAGGUUUCCAGGGGAAGGUUCGUCCGCCCUGGGUUAGUCGGGACCUAAGCUGAGGCCGAAAGGCGUAGGUGAUGGACAACAGGUUGAUAUUCCUGUAC
Molecule: ribosomal RNA, 764 nt
Filed under: Clostridioides difficile
Lineage: Bacteria; Bacillati; Bacillota; Clostridia; Peptostreptococcales; Peptostreptococcaceae
Description: partial 23S ribosomal RNA
Rfam family: Bacterial large subunit ribosomal RNA
Source: RNAcentral